GACGAACGCUGGCGGCGUGCCUAACACAUGCAAGUGGAGCGACGAACCAGGCUUCGGCCUGGGGCAAAGCCGCGAACGGGUGAGUAACACGUGGGUAACCUGCCCUGAUGAUUGGGACAACCCGAGGAAACUCGGGCUAAUACCAAAUGUGCCCUUCGGCCACAAGGCCGCUGGGGAAAGGAAGCUUCGGCCUCCGCAUCUGGAUGGGCCCGCGGCCCAUUAGCUUGUUGGUGAGGUAACGGCUCACCAAGGCGACGAUGGGUAGCUGGUCUGAGAGGACGAUCAGCCACACUGGGACUGAGACACGGCCCAGACUCCUACGGGAGGCAGCAGUGGGGAAUCUUGCGCAAUGCGCGAAAGCGUGACGCAGCAACGCCG
RNAcentral lists this ribosomal RNA (378 nucleotides) under uncultured bacterium. RNAcentral's name for it is "bacterial SSU rRNA". It matches the Rfam family "Bacterial small subunit ribosomal RNA", at positions 28 to 399 of the family's 1533-position model. The record is from RNAcentral.